UAUCAAGUGUGAAUUGGUAGGCCAUGUGU
This 29-nucleotide non-coding RNA is filed under the name Mus musculus (house mouse). The record is from RNAcentral. Lineage: Eukaryota; Metazoa; Chordata; Mammalia; Rodentia; Muridae.